UGGUGACAGUGUUGGAAAAUAACACAGCAACUGUAUUGAAUAUUUUUAAGGGAGAAGAUGGCAGCCAAAAUAGGCUACAGAAAAGCAGGCCUACAUUUGCUGAACAAAGAAACGUCAAAACAGAUGCACAAUAAAAAGUGCAAACAUGCUAGAACUAGGCUACUCAGUUUUAUCUGAACAGGCAAUUAUUUUCUGAAACUAUAAAGGUCUGGAAUUCGUCUCGGCCGCUCUGUUGUGUGUGUUUGGAGACUGGCGGUAGAUGUUAAAUGUUGGUAAGGAAAUCAGCGUGACCUGCUGGCCAGUCAUCGGGUUAAUGAGGCUUGCGCGAGCUGAAUAUAUGGGCACGCUCUCAGUCCAGGGGUUCUCCAUUCAUUUUUUACAUGAAUAUUUAAUUCUCGCUACCCUACUGCCAGCGCAACAGCCUGCAGCCCUGAGCAGACAGGGACACACUCCCCAUCUGCUGUAGGCCCUGAGACGGGGGCGGCGGUGGAGGACCGCGGAAGGUGUUGGGAGCACAUCAAAGAUGCUCCUGGCUGAGAGAGGGCUUCUGAAGGGCAAAUGUAAAGCCCAGUGAGCUGCUGUCAGCCUUGCUGCAGGGGGAGAUGUUGAAGAACGCCAGAGCAGAGACGUCCCACUCCUCGUCCCAUUGUUCCUGUCACUUCACUCCCGAAUUAACUUUCGAAUGAACAUAAAUGAACAUGGAAUAAUACAAGCCCUCCCGUAAAGAUUUAUGUUCUCUCAUUGUUUGGAGGCGAAAUCACAGCAUGCUACAAGCCCACAAGGCCAAAUCUCGUUGUCCCAUGGUAGAAAGAACUACCAACCUUCACUCGAGCUGCAAAAUCUGUGAGCACUUGACUAACUAAC
This is a long non-coding RNA of Carassius carassius (crucian carp), 864 nucleotides long. RefSeq lists it as uncharacterized. The transcript has 3 exons. The record is from RefSeq and is a predicted model, not a curated record. NCBI's taxonomy places the organism in Eukaryota, Metazoa, Chordata, Actinopteri, Cypriniformes, Cyprinidae.